This is a non-coding RNA of Chrysemys picta bellii (western painted turtle), 1021 nucleotides long. The record is from RefSeq and is a predicted model, not a curated record. Lineage: Eukaryota; Metazoa; Chordata; Testudines; Emydidae.
GGGGCUCCCAGCCACAGCUAAUGCCCCAGGGCUUCUAAAUCUUGAGAGCCCCCGCCUCUUCCGGUUGAGGCCACGCCCCCAGGGCUCCGGGAGUAUGGUUUAACCUGUAUAUUUGCAAAAGAUGGGGAAUAGAAUGUAGCUUCACCAGCCCGUAACACCCACAAACCAAUGGCUUAGCUGAAAACACUAAUAAAUCCAUCAAAAGAGCGCUGAAGAAGAUGGUUGAUGACACUGCAAGUAACUGGAAUGAAUUCCUUGAGCCCACUUUGAUUUCUUUGCGAACUAAAGUACACGCAACAACAAAACUUUCACCCUUUCGACUAAUGUUUUGCAAUGACCCAGUGUUUCCAGAAGAAGUCUCAGAGAAUGGCAUGAUUCCAGAUAUCAAUGAAUUUGGGGAAGAUUUCUGCAAAGAGUACAGGACAAAUAUGAAAUCUAGACCAGUGGUCUCCAAAGUGGGGUGCGCGCACCCCAGGGGUUGUGCAAGACGAUCCACUGGGGGGGCGUGGCAGGAGGAGCGCCGCUGGAGAAAAAAAAAAAGGGCGGCCGGAGGAGCGCCACCCUAAAGUUGGCCGGAAUGCCGCCCCUUACAGUGUGCUGCCCCAGGCACGUGCUUCCUACGCUGGUGGCUGGAGCCGGCCCUGUGAGGUAUCCUGAGAGUGGAAUUCUUCAAUAUGAUAUAUUAUUGCUUCCUUACCACACACCAGGUCAUUGGGAUCUUGCGAAAGCGUGGAAGACUACUGCAUAUACUGCAACUUUGUCAGUUGUGAAAAAGAAAGUGAAGAUUGCAUAAUGGUCAAGUGUGACUCUUGUAAGAGGUGGGCACAUAUGCCUUGCGUUCCAGAAGGAACCAUUCAAGAAAUCAUCACUGAUGAGAAGAAAGAAUACAAGUGCAAAAAAUGUGCAUAGUUCAGCUCAUUACCAAAAUUAUGUUGUGUAAAUGGUGAUUUUUAAAAAAACAUCUUGGAACAAGAAGCAAACUGUUUUUGUUUAUAUACCAGCUUAUAAUAAAGUUUUUAAA